CGAACGGGUGAGUAAUACAUCGGAACGCGUCCUUUAGUGGGGGACAACGCCGAGUAAUCGGCGCUAAUACCGCAUACGCCCGAGAGGGGAAAGCGGGGGACCGCAAGGCCUCGCGCUGUUGGAGCGGCCGAUGUCCGAUUAGCUAGUUGGUGAGGUAAAGGCUCACCAAGGCGACGAUCGGUAGCUGGUCUGAGAGGAUGAUCAGCCACACUGGGACUGAGACACGGCCCAG
Molecule: ribosomal RNA, 232 nt
Filed under: uncultured bacterium
Lineage: Bacteria
Description: partial 16S ribosomal RNA
Rfam family: Bacterial small subunit ribosomal RNA
Source: RNAcentral